UACGUAGGGUGCGAGCGUUAAUCGGAAUUACUGGGCGUAAAGCGUGCGCAGGCGGCGUCGCAAGUCAGGCGUGAAAGCCCCGGGCUUAACCUGGGAAUGGCGCUUGAAACUACGAUGCUGGAGUAUGGCAGAGGGAGGUGGAAUUCCACGUGUAGCGGUGAAAUGCGUAGAUAUGUGGAGGAACACCGAUGGCGAAGGCAGCCUCCUGGGCCAAUACUGACGCUCAUGCACGAAAGCGUGGGGAGCAAACAGGAUUAGAUACCCUGGUAGUCCACGCCCUAAACGAUGUCGACUAGUUGUUGGGGGAGUUAAAUCCCUUAGUAACGCAGCUAACGCGAGAAGUCGACCGCCUGGGGAGUACGGUCGCAAGAUUA
Molecule: ribosomal RNA, 374 nt
Filed under: uncultured prokaryote
Description: bacterial SSU rRNA
Rfam family: Bacterial small subunit ribosomal RNA
Source: RNAcentral